GGGCAGUUGUGCAGUGUGUUGUAGCCUAUGGACCAUUUGGCACUGAAACAACCCCUUGUAUCACCAUGGAUUCUCUUUACAUUUCUCUGAAGCAUUCCUCUUACAUCUCGCCAUGGCCUCAUCAUCUGAUUACUAGCUAAUGAGUAGACUCAUGAAGGGUUUAUUGCUGUGUUAAGGUAAGGUAAGGUUAAGGCAAGGUAAGGAAAAGUAUUACCUAUGUUCUAAGGUAUUUAUGUGGUUAAAAUGUUACUCUGUAUCAGAUUGACAAGUUUUUAAUGAUGAUUGUGUU
This is a long non-coding RNA of Zingiber officinale, 289 nucleotides long. RefSeq lists it as uncharacterized. NCBI's taxonomy places the organism in Eukaryota, Viridiplantae, Streptophyta, Magnoliopsida, Zingiberales, Zingiberaceae. The transcript has 2 exons. The record is from RefSeq and is a predicted model, not a curated record.